UACGGAAGGCAGCAGUGGGGAAUAUUGCACAAUGGGCGAAAGCCUGAUGCAGCUAUGCCGCGUGUAUGAAGAAGGCCUUAGGGUUGUAAAGUACUUUCAUCGGGGAGGAAAAAACAAAACUAAUAAUUUUAUUUCUUGACGUUACCCGAAAAAGAAGCACCGGCUAACUCCGUGCCAGCAGCCGCGGUAAUACGGAGGGUGCUAGCGUUAAUCAGAAUUACUGGGCGUAAAGAGCACGUAGGUGGUUUUUUAAGUCAGAUGUGAAAUCCCUGGGCUUAACCUAGGAACUGCAUUUUGAAACUGAAAUACUAGAGUAUCGUAGAGGGAGGUAGAAUUCUAGGUGUAGCGGUGAAAUGCGUAGAUAUCUGGAGGAAUACCUGUGGCGAAAGCGGCCUCCUAAACGAAUACUGACACUGAGGGUGCGAAAAGCGUGGGGAGCAAAACAGGGAUUAGAUACCC
This 459-nucleotide ribosomal RNA is filed under the name uncultured bacterium. RNAcentral's name for it is "bacterial SSU rRNA". It matches the Rfam family "Bacterial small subunit ribosomal RNA", at positions 340 to 787 of the family's 1533-position model. The record is from RNAcentral.